This 253-nucleotide ribosomal RNA is filed under the name uncultured bacterium. RNAcentral describes it as "partial 16S ribosomal RNA". It matches the Rfam family "Bacterial small subunit ribosomal RNA", at positions 524 to 776 of the family's 1533-position model. The record is from RNAcentral.
UACGUAGGCAGCAAGCGUUGUUCGGAGUUACUGGGCGUAAAGAGUGCGUAGGCGGUUCGCCAAGUCUGGUGUGAAAUCUCCCGGCUUAACCGGGAGGGUGCGCCGGAAACUGGCGGGCUCGAGUGUGGGAGAGGAAAGCGGAAUUCCUGGUGUAGCGGUGAAAUGCGUAGAUAUCAGGAGGAACACCGGUGGUGUAGACGGCUUUCUGGACCACUACUGACGCUGAGGCACGAAAGCGUGGGGAGCAAACAGG